RNAcentral lists this ribosomal RNA (539 nucleotides) under uncultured archaeon. RNAcentral's name for it is "bacterial SSU rRNA". It matches the Rfam family "Archaeal small subunit ribosomal RNA", at positions 460 to 997 of the family's 1478-position model. The record is from RNAcentral.
AGCCGCCGCGGGAACACCGGCGGCCCGAGUGGUGAUCGUGAUUAUUGGGUCUAAAGGGUCCGUAGCCGGUUUGGUCAGUCCUCCGGGAAAUCUGAUAGCUCAACUAUUAGGCUUUCGGGGGAUACUGCCAGACUUGGAACCGGGAGAGGUAAGAGGUACUACAGGGGUAGGAGUGAAAUCUUGUAAUCCCUGUGGGACCACCUGUGGCGAAGGCGUCUUACCAGAACGGGUUCGACGGUGAGGGACGAAAGCUGGGGGCACGAACCGGAUUAGAUACCCGGGUAGUCCCAGCCGUAAACGAUGCUCGCUAGGUGUCAGGCAUGGCGCGACCGUGUCUGGUGCCGCAGGGAAGCCGUGAAGCGAGCCACCUGGGAAGUACGGCCGCAAGGCUGAAACUUAAAGGAAUUGGCGGGGGAGCACAACAACGGGUGGAGCCCUGCGGUUUAAUUGGACUCAACGCCGGACAACUCACCGGGGGCGACAGCAAUAUGUAGGCCAAGCUGAAGACUUUGCCUGAAUCGCUGAGAAGUGGUGCAUGG